Molecule: ribosomal RNA, 442 nt
Filed under: uncultured bacterium
Lineage: Bacteria
Description: partial 16S ribosomal RNA
Rfam family: Bacterial small subunit ribosomal RNA
Source: RNAcentral
CCUACGGGGGGCAGCAGUGGGGAAUAUUGGGCAAUGGGCGCAAGCCUGACCCAGCAACGCCGCGUGAAGGAAGAAGGCUUUCGGGUUGUAAACUUCUUUUGUCAGGGAAAAGUAGAAGACGGUACCUGACGAAUAAGCCACGGCUAACUACGUGCCAGCAGCCGCGGUAAUACGUAGGUGGCAAGCGUUGUCCGGAUUUACUGGGUGUAAAGGGCGUGUAGCCGGAUGGUCAAGUCAGAUGUGAAAUCCUGCGGCUUAACCGCAGAACUGCAUUUGAAACUGUUGAUCUUGAGUACUGGAGAGGCAGAUGGAAUUCCUAGUGUAGCGGUGAAAUGCGUAGAUAUUAGGAGGAACACCAGUGGCGAAGGCGGUCUGCUGGACAGCAACUGACGGUGAGGCGCGAAAGCGUGGGGAGCAAACAGGAUUAGAUACCCGGGUAGUC